UGCGUAGGCGGACCUAUAAGUCAGUGGUGAAAGCCCGCAGCUAAACUGCGGAACUGCCAUUGAUACUGUAGGUCUUGAAUAUAGUCGAGGUGGGCGGAAUGUAAUGUGUAGCGGUGAAAUGCUUAGAUAUGUUACAGAACACCAAUUGCGAAGGCAGCUUGCUAGACUAUUAUUGACGCUGAGGCACGAAAGCGUGGGGAGCGAACAGGAUUAGAUACCCUGGUAGUCC
Molecule: ribosomal RNA, 229 nt
Filed under: uncultured bacterium
Lineage: Bacteria
Description: partial 16S ribosomal RNA
Rfam family: Bacterial small subunit ribosomal RNA
Source: RNAcentral